GAAAUAAAUAAAAUAAAGCUUCUAACUUUAACUUAGAUAUUAAAUUUAUCUUUAUUUCU
RNAcentral lists this transfer RNA (59 nucleotides) under Bombus consobrinus. Its description in RNAcentral is "tRNA-Ser". The record is from RNAcentral. Lineage: Eukaryota; Metazoa; Arthropoda; Insecta; Hymenoptera; Apidae.